AGGGGCGUCGUUGCGGUGGAAAAGUGGUCGGAUCCCAUCAGAACUCCAAAGUUAAGCGUGCUUGGGCGAGAGUAGUACUAGGAUGGGUGACCUCCUGGGAAGUCCUCGUGUUGCAUUCC
Molecule: ribosomal RNA, 119 nt
Filed under: Hordeum euclaston
Lineage: Eukaryota; Viridiplantae; Streptophyta; Magnoliopsida; Poales; Poaceae
Source: RNAcentral